RNAcentral lists this ribosomal RNA (253 nucleotides) under uncultured bacterium. Its description in RNAcentral is "partial 16S ribosomal RNA". It matches the Rfam family "Bacterial small subunit ribosomal RNA", at positions 524 to 776 of the family's 1533-position model. The record is from RNAcentral.
UACGUAGGGUGCGAGCGUUGUUCGGAAUUACUGGGCGUAAAGGGCUCGUAGGCGGCCAACUAAGUCAGACGUGAAAUCCCUCAGCUUAACUGGGGAACUGCGUCUGAUACUGGAUGGCUUGAGUUCGGGAGAGGGAUGCGGAAUUCCAGGUGUAGCGGUGAAAUGCGUAGAUAUCUGGAGGAACACCGGUGGCGAAGGCGGCAUCCUGGACCGACACUGACGCUGAGGAGCGAAAGCCAGGGGAGCAAACGGG